RNAcentral lists this ribosomal RNA (506 nucleotides) under uncultured bacterium. RNAcentral's name for it is "partial 16S ribosomal RNA". It matches the Rfam family "Bacterial small subunit ribosomal RNA", at positions 30 to 523 of the family's 1533-position model. The record is from RNAcentral.
AUUGAACGCUGGCGGCAGGCCUAACACAUGCAAGUCGAACGGUAACAGGAAGAAGCUUGCUUCUUUGCUGACGAGUGGCGGACGGGUGAGUAAUGUCUGGGAAACUGCCUGAUGGAGGGGGAUAACUACUGGAAACGGUAGCUAAUACCGCAUAACGUCGCAAGACCAAAGAGGGGGACCUUCGGGCCUCUUGCCAUCGGAUGUGCCCAGAUGGGAUUAGCUAGUUGGUGGGGUAACGGCUCACCAAGGCGACGAUCCCUAGCUGGUCUGAGAGGAUGACCAGCCACACUGGAACUGAGACACGGUCCAGACUCCUACGGGAGGCAGCAGCGGGGAAUAUUGCACAAUGGGCGCAAGCCUGAUGCAGCCAUGCCGCGUGUAUGAAGAAGGCCUUCGGGUUGUAAAGUACUUUCAGCGGGGAGGAAGGGAGUAAAGUUAAUACCUUUGCUCAUUGACGUUACCCGCAGAAGAAGCACCGGCUAACUCCGUGGCAGCCGCCGCAGUAA